UCUAGAUUAGAGUUUGAUCAUGGCUCAGAUUGAACGCUGGCGGCAGGCCUAACACAUGCAAGUCGAACGGUAGCACAGAGAGCUUGCUCUCGGGUGACGAGUGGCGGACGGGUGAGUAAUGUCUGGGAAACUGCCUGAUGGAGGGGGAUAACUACUGGAAACGGUAGCUAAUACCGCAUAACGUCGCAAGACCAAAGAGGGGGACCUUCGGGCCUCUUGCCAUCAGAUGUGCCCAGAUGGGAUUAGCUAGUAGGUGGGGUAAUGGCUCACCUAGGCGACGAUCCCUAGCUGGUCUGAGAGGAUGACCAGCCACACUGGAACUGAGACACGGUCCAGACUCCUACGGGAGGCAGCAGUGGGGAAUAUUGCACAAUGGGCGCAAGCCUGAUGCAGCCAUGCCGCGUGUAUGAAGAAGGCCUUCGGGUUGUAAAGUACUUUCAGCGGGGAGGAAGGUGUUGCGGUUAAUAACCGCAGCAAUUGACGUUACCCGCAGAAGAAGCACCGGCUAACUCCGUGCCAGCAGCCGCGGUAAUACGGAGGGUGCAAGCGUUAAUCGGAAUUACUGGGCGUAAAGCGCACGCAGGCGGUCUGUCAAGUCGGAUGUGAAAUCCCCGGGCUCAACCUGGGAACUGCAUUCGAAACUGGCAGGCUAGAGUCUUGUAGAGGGGGGUAGAAUUCCAGGUGUAGCGGUGAAAUGCGUAGAGAUCUGGAGGAAUAUACCCGGUGGCGAAGGCGGCCCCCUGGACAAAGACUGACGCUCAGGUGCGAAAGCGUGGGGAGCAAACAGGGAUUAGAUACCCUGGUAGUCACGCCGUAAACGAUGUCGACUUGGAGGUUGUGCCCUUGAGGCGUGGCUUCCGGAGCUAACGCGUUAAGUCGACCGCCUGGGGAGUACGGCCGCAAGGUUAAAACUCAAAUGAAUUGACGGGGGCCCGCACAAGCGAUGGAGCAUGUGGUUUAAUUCGAUGCAACGCGAAGAACCUUACCUACUCUUGACAUCCAGAGAACUUUCCAGAGAUGGAUUGGUGCCUUCGGGAACUCUGAGACAGGUGCUGCAUGGCUGUCGUCAGCUUGUGUUGUGAAAUGUUGGGUUAAGUCCCGUAACGAGCGCAACCCUUAUCCUUUGUUGCCAGCGGUCCGGCCGGGAACUCAAAGGAGACUGCCAGUGAUAAACUGGAGGAAGGUGGGGAUGACGUCAAGUCAUCAUGGCCCUUACGAGUAGGGCUACACACGUGCUACAAUGGCGCAUACAAAGAGAAGCGAACUCGCGAGAGCAAGCGGACCUCAUAAAGUGCGUCGUAGUCCGGAUUGGAGUCUGCAACUCGACUCCAUGAAGUCGGAAUCGCUAGUAAUCGUAGAUCAGAAUGCUACGGUGAAUACGUUCCCGGGCCUUGUACACACCGCCCGUCACACCAUGGGAGUGGGUUGCAAAAGAAGUAGGUAGCUUAACCUUCGGGAGGGCGCUUACCACUUUGUGAUUCAUGACUGGGGUGAAGUCGUAACAAGGUAACCGUAGGGGAACCUGUGGCUGGAUCACCUCUU
Molecule: ribosomal RNA, 1542 nt
Filed under: uncultured Enterobacter sp.
Lineage: Bacteria; Pseudomonadati; Pseudomonadota; Gammaproteobacteria; Enterobacterales; Enterobacteriaceae
Description: 16S ribosomal RNA
Rfam family: Bacterial small subunit ribosomal RNA
Source: RNAcentral